ACUCUAGAGGGAAGCGCUUUCU
RNAcentral lists this microRNA (22 nucleotides) under Homo sapiens (human). RNAcentral's name for it is "Hsa-Mir-430-P40a_5p (mature (guide))". The record is from RNAcentral. Lineage: Eukaryota; Metazoa; Chordata; Mammalia; Primates; Hominidae.